CCUACGGGGUGCUGCAGUGGGGAAUAUUGGACAAUGGGCGAAAGCCUGAUCCAGCCAUGCCGCGUGUGUGAAGAAGGCCUUCGGGUUGUAAAGCACUUUCAGUGGGGAAGAAAGCCUUGGGGCUAAUACCCUCGAGGAAGGACAUCACCCACAGAAGAAGCACCGGCUAACUCCGUGCCAGCAGCCGCGGUAAUACGGAGGGUGCGAGCGUUAAUCGGAAUUACUGGGCGUAAAGCGCGCGUAGGCGGUCUGAUAAGCCGGGUGUGAAAGCCCCGGGCUCAACCUGGGAACGGCAUCCGGAACUGUCAGGCUAGAGUGCAGGAGAGGAAGGUAGAAUUCCCGGUGUAGCGGUGAAAUGCGUAGAGAUCGGGAGGAAUACCAGUGGCGAAGGCGGCCUUCUGGACUGACACUGACGCUGAGGUGCGAAAGCGUGGGUAGCAAACAGGAUUAGAUACCCGUGUAGUC
Molecule: ribosomal RNA, 465 nt
Filed under: Vreelandella stevensii
Lineage: Bacteria; Pseudomonadati; Pseudomonadota; Gammaproteobacteria; Oceanospirillales; Halomonadaceae
Description: partial 16S ribosomal RNA
Rfam family: Bacterial small subunit ribosomal RNA
Source: RNAcentral